GAUGAACGCUGGCGGCGUGCCUAAUACAUGCAAGUCGAGCGAACAGACGAGGAGCUUGCUCCUCUGACGUUAGCGGCGGACGGGUGAGUAACACGUGGAUAACCUACCUAUAAGACUGGGAUAACUUCGGGAAACCGGAGCUAAUACCGGAUAAUAUAUUGAACCGCAUGGUUCAAUAGUGAAAGACGGUUUUGCUGUCACUUAUAGAUGGAUCCGCGCCGCAUUAGCUAGUUGGUAAGGUAACGGCUUACCAAGGCGACGAUGCGUAGCCGACCUGAGAGGGUGAUCGGCCACACUGGAACUGAGACACGGUCCAGACUCCUACGGGAGGCAGCAGUAGGGAAUCUUCCGCAAUGGGCGAAAGCUUGACGGAGCAACGCCGCGUGAGUGAUGAGGGUCUUCGGAUCGUAAAACUCUGUUAUUAGGGAAGAACAAAUGUGUAAGUAACUAUGCACGUCUUGACGGUACCUAAUCAGAAAGCCACGGCUAACUACGUG
This 497-nucleotide ribosomal RNA is filed under the name uncultured bacterium. RNAcentral describes it as "partial 16S ribosomal RNA". It matches the Rfam family "Bacterial small subunit ribosomal RNA", at positions 28 to 507 of the family's 1533-position model. The record is from RNAcentral.